GGUCACCUUCGGGGGGCCAUACAUAUAGGCGGGCCGGCCUGGCCGCACCCGCCGCUAGCAAACGGAAGACAGAAA
Molecule: non-coding RNA, 75 nt
Filed under: Pseudooceanicola nanhaiensis DSM 18065
Lineage: Bacteria; Pseudomonadati; Pseudomonadota; Alphaproteobacteria; Rhodobacterales; Paracoccaceae
Description: L2-Alphaproteobacteria ribosomal protein leader
Rfam family: L2-Alphaproteobacteria ribosomal protein leader
Source: RNAcentral